Molecule: non-coding RNA, 835 nt
Organism: Pelobates cultripes (western spadefoot toad)
Lineage: Eukaryota; Metazoa; Chordata; Amphibia; Anura; Pelobatidae
Source: the annotation of a GenBank genome assembly
GAGUUAAAUAUAGGUGCCCCAACAGAACCAUCAGUUGAUUCACGCAUUAUAGCACUUCAGAUUAAGAUCACCAAAAUCAAGGACAACACCAGAACCAAGGCUAAAAGAGAAAUAGAGUCCACAACAAAGCAGUGAUUCAUCAAAGUCAAGAAUCAACACAAAAUCCAUGGGUCUACAUCAGGUCCAAAACCAGAAGCAACACCAGAACUGAGACUGAAACUGGACCUAGGAUGCAAACGAAAAUAUAAGGCCAAAACCAUGAUCAUAGUUGGUUCCAGAAAGAAGAUAUACAUAAAUUAAGUCUACUUUAAGGCCCAUAAAACUGGUCUACAUUCCACAGCAGAAUCAAUAACAAUAUUGGUAUAUAAUUCCCAUCCAAAGAACUAUGACACAGAGUCCACACAAAAUAAGAUCCAAUUUUAAACUCCAAAUGUUAACUCUGUGGAGGUUCCAAAACCCCACCUAGGGUCCACAAGUAAAACAUGUACCAAAUCUAAUGUUUUCACUAGAAUUGAUACCAAAACCAGACCAAUAUUAAACGUACAAUGGGGACAAACACGAGAUAACCCCUGAACAUGAAUCCAGAGAAAAACUAUAGUUAAAUGACAUCUGGAGUUACUACAACAAACAUAAAUGGGAGAAAUUUCACAUACGACUUGAAAGCAGAAACAAAACUCAGACCAGCUCUCAACGCAACCUUCAAGAAACAAAGUCAGAUUUCAUAUCACUACAAGUAUACAAUGAAAUAGAUAGUUUAACAGACCUCCUUAAUACCGGACAUCUUGCAAUCAUUUAAUUUGCAUUAAUAAAGCAUUAAUAAAUAUUUUAUCUAAUC